This 79-nucleotide transfer RNA is filed under the name Squalidus multimaculatus. RNAcentral describes it as "tRNA-Asp". It matches the Rfam family "tRNA". Rfam says of the family: Transfer RNA (tRNA) molecules are approximately 80 nucleotides in length. Their secondary structure includes four short double-helical elements and three loops (D, anti-codon, and T loops). Lineage: Eukaryota; Metazoa; Chordata; Actinopteri; Cypriniformes; Gobionidae. The record is from RNAcentral.
AAGACAUUAGUAAAAUGCAAAUUACAUCACCUUGUCAAGGUGAAAUUGCAGGUUAAAUCCCUGCAUGUCUUAAGCCCUA